GACGAACGCUGGCGGCGUGCCUAAUACAUGCAAGUAGAACGCACAGUUUAUACCGUAGCUUGCUACACCAUAGACUGUGAGUUGCGAACGGGUGAGUAACGCGUAGGUAACCUGCCUGGUAGCGGGGGAUAACUAUUGGAAACGAUAGCUAAUACCGCACAAUAUUGAUUAUUGCAUGAUAAUUGAUUGAAAGAUGCUAUUGCAUCACUACCAGAUGGACCUGCGUUGUAUUAGCUAGUAGGUGAGGUAACGGCUCACCUAGGCGACGAUACAUAGCCGACCUGAGAGGGUGAUCGGCCACACUGGGACUGAGACACGGCCCAGACUCCUACGGGAGGCAGCAGUAGGGAAUCUUCGGCAAUGGACGAAAGUCUGACCGAGCAACGCCGCGUGAGUGAAGAAGGUUUUCGGAUCGUAAAGCUCUGUUGUAAGAGAAGAACGGGUGUGAGAGUGGAAAGUUCACACUGUGACGGUAUCUUACCAGAAAGGGACGGCUAACUACGUG
Molecule: ribosomal RNA, 505 nt
Filed under: uncultured bacterium
Lineage: Bacteria
Description: partial 16S ribosomal RNA
Rfam family: Bacterial small subunit ribosomal RNA
Source: RNAcentral